RNAcentral lists this ribosomal RNA (250 nucleotides) under uncultured prokaryote. RNAcentral's name for it is "partial 16S ribosomal RNA". It matches the Rfam family "Bacterial small subunit ribosomal RNA", at positions 524 to 773 of the family's 1533-position model. The record is from RNAcentral.
UACGUAGGGGGCAAGCGUUAUCCGGAUUUACUGGGUGUAAAGGGAGCGUAGACGGAAGGCCAAGUCUGAUGUGAAAGCCCGGGGCUCAACCGCGGGACUGCAUUGGAAACUGGUCAACUAGAGUACCGGAGGGGUGAGCGGAAUUCCUGAUGUAGCGGUGAAAUGCGCAGAUAUCAGGAAGAACACCGGCGGCGAAGGCGGCUCACUGGACGGCAACUGACGUUGAGGCUCAAAAGCGUGGGUAGCAAAC